AUUCAUAUAGUUUACAAAAACAUUUCAUUUUCAAUGAAAAGAGGAAAAUUAAAUU
RNAcentral lists this transfer RNA (55 nucleotides) under Rhodnius pictipes. Its description in RNAcentral is "tRNA-Glu". The record is from RNAcentral. Lineage: Eukaryota; Metazoa; Arthropoda; Insecta; Hemiptera; Reduviidae.